This is a long non-coding RNA of Rosa rugosa (rugosa rose), 1080 nucleotides long. RefSeq lists it as uncharacterized. Lineage: Eukaryota; Viridiplantae; Streptophyta; Magnoliopsida; Rosales; Rosaceae. The record is from RefSeq and is a predicted model, not a curated record. The transcript has 8 exons.
UUCGAGGAGAAUAUCAAGGUGGUGGAAAAGUCGACUUCGUCCUUGCUUUUGUUAGUGUUGGAUAGGUAUCACGAUCGGGUCUGGAAUUGAGUGGUUUACAUCAACAUCAGAAAAAGCGAAAGAAGAGAGAGGAAAGAAGAGAGGAAAGGAGAAGAUCUCGGUGACAAUAUAUCGGUUGCAAGUUGUCAAUAUUGUUGGCUGGAAUAUCUACAGAAGAAUAAUAGAGAUUCAAAUCGAUUCUGUGGGUUCUACAGUUUCAGAUCCGGGUAACUCACUGCAAGAACUUCAAGGGAAUUGCAACUUUAAUCACUCUGUUGGAAGAAAAAAACAACCAGGUUUAAAACAGAAUAGCAACUAAAGUGUCAAAGCUGCAGAGUUUCAAAUAAAAGAUUUAAAACAAAACAGCAGUUAAAGUGUCAAAGCUUUAGAGUUUAAAAUCAAGGGUGACGUAAUUGUUUGACAAUAUCUCUAUUUCGUACAGGAAACCUGCCCUCUCCCCUUUGAGGUUUUCUGGAUUCUAUGCAAAACAGUAUAUGUGUGAUUUUCAUCCCGCUGUUCCUCUGCAUAUUGCUUACAGCUAUUUUAACGUCGAGUCCUUCUAUAGGUGUGUGCUCUUAAUUCAUAUUGUGAACAUUGUUUGAAUCAAUUGUGAUGAAUGAAUUGUCAUGUGUCUGUACUUACUGUUUUGUGUAGAUGUUGCAAACUUAUUUCAACUGAAUUUUGGGUCAGAUUGUUGGUAUACAUAUUUAAUAAUGUUUGAAGUCUGUUGACGUAUAGACUUUUCUCAAAAUUAAAAUCUUACUAUGGACCAUUUAAGAUUGCUUCUAUUUAGGUUGAUUAGAAUAAAUUUACUCACUGUUUGGUUGGUAUACAACUCAUAUAAAAAAAGAUUUUUGAUUCCGACUCAUUUUGUUUACAAACAUUAUUUUGUGGUUUUUAUUGUUUUCAUAAUGUUUUGGAUUUCGAUCUGUGCUUUUUAUCAAAGUGAGAAUUUCAGUCCAAUUAUUUUUGGUGUUCAUAUUUGUUGGAUUUUGUAAUUCCAGGAAUCUUAUACUGUGAUUAAUUUUGUUUAGAAACAUU